Molecule: ribosomal RNA, 308 nt
Filed under: uncultured bacterium
Lineage: Bacteria
Description: partial 16S ribosomal RNA
Rfam family: Bacterial small subunit ribosomal RNA
Source: RNAcentral
GAGACAGCAGUAGCCGCGGUAAUACGUAGGGUGCAAGCGUUAAUCGGAAUUACUGGGCGUAAAGCGUGCGCAGGCGGUUAUAUAAGACAGAUGUGAAAUCCCCGGGCUCAACCUGGGAACUGCAUUUGUGACUGUAUAGCUAGAGUACGGCAGAGGGGGAUGGAAUUCCGCGUGUAGCAGUGAAAUGCGUAGAUAUGCGGAGGAACACCGAUGGCGAAGGCAAUCCCCUGGGCCUGUACUGACGCUCAUGCACGAAAGCGUGGGGAGCAAACAGGAUUAGAUACCCCCGUAGUCCCUGUCUCUUAUAC